UCGAGGAUCUUCGGCAAUGGGCGCAAGCCUGACCGAGCGACGCCGCGUGUGCGAUGAAGGCCUUCGGGUUGUAAAGCACUGUCGAGGGGGAGGAAGGCGAAAGCUUGACCUAUCCCUGGAGGAAGCACGGGCUAAGUUCGUGCCAGCAGCCGCGGUAAGACGAACCGUGCGAACGUUGUUCGGAAUCACUGGGCUUAAAGGGCGCGUAGGCGGGCAAGCAAGUCCGGGGUGAAAGCCCCCAGCUCAACUGGGGAAGUGCCUUGGAAACUGCUUGUCUUGAGGGAGGUAGGGGCCUGUGGAACUUCGGGUGGAGCGGUGAAAUGCGUUGAUAUCCGAAGGAACGCCGGUGGCGAAAGCGACGGGCUGGACCUCUUCUGACGCUGAGGCGCGAAAGCCAGGGGAGCAAACGGGAUUAGAUACCCCCGUAGUCC
RNAcentral lists this ribosomal RNA (431 nucleotides) under uncultured bacterium. RNAcentral describes it as "bacterial SSU rRNA". It matches the Rfam family "Bacterial small subunit ribosomal RNA", at positions 355 to 796 of the family's 1533-position model. The record is from RNAcentral.